AGCCCCGUGGUGAAAUAAGCACGCCGGAUUGCAAAUCCAGAGAUGCAGACUAACACCCUGCCGGGGCUU
This 69-nucleotide transfer RNA is filed under the name Paratanakia chii. RNAcentral describes it as "tRNA-Cys". It matches the Rfam family "tRNA". Rfam says of the family: Transfer RNA (tRNA) molecules are approximately 80 nucleotides in length. Their secondary structure includes four short double-helical elements and three loops (D, anti-codon, and T loops). Lineage: Eukaryota; Metazoa; Chordata; Actinopteri; Cypriniformes; Acheilognathidae. The record is from RNAcentral.